CCUCGCUCUCCAUCUCGCUAGUAUCUAGCUCUCAGGUGGGUAUCUUGUACCUCUAAUUCUACUGUCGGACACUUGUCCAUUUUUACCUCUCGUCUCACUUUUUCUUUUCUUCGAGGUUCCGAGCACUUGCCCCUUUUUAUUUUCUUGUUUUCAUUUUUUUUCAGAGCACUCACCCUCCUAGAAUAAUGUAGCAAGUGGUAGUAACCAAAAUAUCUCGAGCAUUUAUUUCACGGGGAAUAACAGGGAUAAGAUAAUAUUUUUGGCUAUUCUCUCCUGGAUAGGAGUAGAAUAAUUUUGGGUGAAUCUCGAGAUGGAAAUGAGUGGAUGAAUGUGGAUGCGUACUUCCGGAGUAGAAGCAACAUGUAUGAGUGAACGUGUAAGUAAAUCUUGAUUUUAACCGUAUGACAAGCUCCUAAGGGUCUACACAGCUUGACCACACUCAAUGCUCAUAAGUAGUAAAAAGUAAAUGUAUGGUUCAUAGUCUACUAAGCAUGUGUAUAUGGCUGUGGUAGGAUUUUAAACUCUCAUUGUUGAUGCAAAAGCUGAUCAGCAAACACAAAGGGCUAAUCCUCAAUUUAAACGUUAAGGCGUGCCAGCCGAUUUGACCUUACUAUCGACAAAGGUGAUAACUCGAAUUCUUUGGUCCCGAAAACAGCGAUGCGCC
This 664-nucleotide long non-coding RNA is filed under the name Sorghum bicolor (sorghum). Its description in RNAcentral is "long non-coding RNA (SBIC_LNC012193)". Lineage: Eukaryota; Viridiplantae; Streptophyta; Magnoliopsida; Poales; Poaceae. The record is from RNAcentral.